This 913-nucleotide ribosomal RNA is filed under the name Pratylenchus vulnus (walnut meadow nematode). RNAcentral describes it as "eukaryotic LSU rRNA". The stretch from base 1 to 193 matches the Rfam family "Eukaryotic small subunit ribosomal RNA", at positions 1641 to 1831 of the family's 1831-position model. The record is from RNAcentral. Lineage: Eukaryota; Metazoa; Nematoda; Chromadorea; Rhabditida; Pratylenchidae.
UUGAUUACGUCCCUGCCCUUUGUACACACCGCCCGUCGCUGCCCGGAACUGAGCCAUUUCGAGAAACUUGGGGACCGCUGACUUGGUGGCUCUCGGGUCACCUCGUUGGUGGAAACCAAUUUAAUCGCAGUGGCUUGAACCGGGCAAAAGUCGUAACAAGGUAGCUGUAGGUGAACCUGCUGCUGGAUCAUUACAUUUCAACCAAAUAAUGGUCAAAUACGAAGCUUGGAUAGCUCAUUGAAGAGCCCGCAUAUUUACUUGAUGGUGGUGAAUAGCGCAACGGCUAACGUUGGUGUCUCUAUGUUGCUGAGCAGUUGUCGUCGUCCGUGGCUGCAAUGAGGUGACAUGGUAGGACUAUAUGCAGAUGGCAUUUGGUUUAAGACUUAAUGAGCCCAAGGACUCUGGGCCGCCAACACCCAUUUCUUCAUAUACAUUUUUUCACAUUGAACAAAGAAAUUCUAGUCUUAUCGGUGGAUCACUCGGCUCGUAGGUCGAUGAAGAACGCAGCUAACUGCGAUAAAUAGUGCGAACUGCAGAAACAUUGAGCACAAAACAUUCGAAUGCACAUUGCGCCAUUGGAGUCUCUUCCUUUGGCACGCCUUGUUCAGGGUCGUCAUCCAAAAACGCAUCAUUUUUGCGUGAAAAUUCAGAAUACAAUUUUGUAUACUUGGAGGAAAAAGGACACUUGGAAUCACUAUUGCGGAUGUGAGAAGUAUGAGAAUACAUCGACUUUGAUCGUCAUGAAGGUGGAAGCGUCUACCUGCGCUUUGCUGGUGGCCAAAUGCCUAGCCAUAAAGUGGCAAUGUUCAUAAUUUCGACCUGAACUCAGACGUGAGUACCCGCUGAACUUAAGCAUAUCAGUAAGCGGAGGAAAAGAAACUAACAAGGAUUCCCUUAGUAACGGCGAGUGAAA